CCUUUGCCGGCGACCGGCGCACGGGUGAGUAACACGUAUGCAACCUGCCCUCUUCAGGGGGACAACCUUCCGAAAGGGAGGCUAAUCCCGCGUAUAUCGGUUUCGGGCAUCCGAGAUCGAGGAAAGAUUCAUCGGAAGAGGAUGGGCAUGCGGCGCAUUAGCUAGACGGCGGGGUAACGGCCCACCUAACCGACGAUGCGUAGGGGUUCUGAGAGGAAGGUCCCCCACACUGGUACUGAGACACGGACCAGACUCCUACGGAAGGCAGCAG
Molecule: ribosomal RNA, 271 nt
Filed under: uncultured bacterium
Lineage: Bacteria
Description: partial 16S ribosomal RNA
Rfam family: Bacterial small subunit ribosomal RNA
Source: RNAcentral